ACUAUAAGUAUUCAACUGGGCGUGACCGUUUUUGACUAAAAAUAUACCGUUCUCAUUUCGGUCGACUCACUUUUCAACCAAAACAAAAAGUUUGACCUUAUAUUCAGAAAACUAUAAAAACUUUUAAGGGAGCUUAAAGUUACAAGGAGCCAUGUCAAGA
This is a long non-coding RNA of Myzus persicae (green peach aphid), 160 nucleotides long. RefSeq lists it as uncharacterized. The transcript is spliced from 2 exons. The record is from RefSeq and is a predicted model, not a curated record. NCBI's taxonomy places the organism in Eukaryota, Metazoa, Arthropoda, Insecta, Hemiptera, Aphididae.